CGAGUAGUUGGGGAGUCUGGUACCCCGCUUGCUUUGGGAGCAAGAGAACUCGUAGGUUCAAAUCCUACCUACUCGA
RNAcentral lists this transfer RNA (76 nucleotides) under Bacteroidota bacterium. RNAcentral describes it as "Bacteroidetes bacterium (marine metagenome) tRNA-Pro". It matches the Rfam family "tRNA". From Rfam's summary of the family: Transfer RNA (tRNA) molecules are approximately 80 nucleotides in length. Lineage: Bacteria; Pseudomonadati; Bacteroidota. The record is from RNAcentral.